AAUGGGCGGAAGCCUGAUGCAGCGACGCCGCGUGGGGGAUGACGGCCUUCGGGUUGUAAACCUCUUUCGUCGGGGAAGAAGCCUUUCGGGGUGACGGUACCCGGAGAAGAAGCACCGGCUAACUACGUGCCAGCAGCCGCGGUAAUACGUAGGGUGCGAGCGUUGUCCGGAAUUAUUGGGCGUAAAGAGCUUGUAGGCGGUUUGUCGCGUCUGCGGUGAAAACCUAACGCUUAACGUUGGGCGUGCCGUGGGUACGGGCAGGCUAGAGUGUGGUAGGGGAGACUGGAAUUCCUGGUGUAGCGGUGAAAUGCGCAGAUAUCAGGAGGAACACCGAUGGCGAAGGCAGGUCUCUGGGCCAUAACUGACGCUGAGAAGCGAAAGCAUGGGGAGCGAA
RNAcentral lists this ribosomal RNA (394 nucleotides) under uncultured bacterium. RNAcentral's name for it is "bacterial SSU rRNA". It matches the Rfam family "Bacterial small subunit ribosomal RNA", at positions 370 to 772 of the family's 1533-position model. The record is from RNAcentral.